RNAcentral lists this unclassified non-coding RNA (222 nucleotides) under uncultured Gammaproteobacteria bacterium. RNAcentral's name for it is "contains 16S-23S intergenic spacer region". Lineage: Bacteria; Pseudomonadati; Pseudomonadota; Gammaproteobacteria. The record is from RNAcentral.
UCCGGUUUGUCACCGGCAGUCUCAUUAGAGUGCCCAACUGAAUGUAGCAACUAAUGACAAGGGUUGCGCUCGUUGCGGGACUUAACCCAACAUCUCACGACACGAGCUGACGACAGCCAUGCAGCACCUGUGUUCCCGUUCCCUUUCGGGCACAGCCCCGUUUCCGGGGCCUCCAGGACAUGUCAAGGGUAGGUAAGGUGGGGAUGACGUGUAACCGAAUCU